This 465-nucleotide ribosomal RNA is filed under the name uncultured Klebsiella sp. RNAcentral's name for it is "bacterial SSU rRNA". It matches the Rfam family "Bacterial small subunit ribosomal RNA", at positions 338 to 795 of the family's 1533-position model. The record is from RNAcentral. Lineage: Bacteria; Pseudomonadati; Pseudomonadota; Gammaproteobacteria; Enterobacterales; Enterobacteriaceae.
CCUACGGGUGGCAGCAGUGGGGAAUAUUGCACAAUGGGCGCAAGCCUGAUGCAGCCAUGCCGCGUGUGUGAAGAAGGCCUUCGGGUUGUAAAGCACUUUCAGCGGGGAGGAAGGCGGUGAGUUUAAUAACCUCAUCGAUUGACGUUACCCGCAGAAGAAGCACCGGCUAACUCCGUGCCAGCAGCCGCGGUAAUACGGAGGGUGCAAGCGUUAAUCGGAAUUACUGGGCGUAAAGCGCACGCAGGCGGUCUGUCAAGUCGGAUGUGAAAUCCCCGGGCUCAACCUGGGAACUGCAUUCGAAACUGGCAGGCUAGAGUCUUGUAGAGGGGGGGAGAAUUUCAGGUGUAGCGGUGAAAUGCGUAGAGAUCUGGAGGAAUACCGGUGGCGAAGGCGGCCCCCUGGACAAAGACUGACGCUCAGGUGCGAAAGCGUGGGGAGCAAACAGGAUUAGAUACCCGGGUAGUC